Dipodomys ordii (Ord's kangaroo rat) is the source of this 65-nucleotide non-coding RNA. The record is from Rfam. NCBI's taxonomy places the organism in Eukaryota, Metazoa, Chordata, Mammalia, Rodentia, Heteromyidae.
GGUGGCUCAGUGGUAGAGUGCUUGUCUUGCAUGCAUGAGACCCUGGGUUCGAUUCCUCAGCACCA